UAAUAGCGUAUAUUAAAGUUGUUGCAGUUAAAAAGCUCGUAGUCGGAUGUCGGGCUCGGGGAGGCUGUCGGCCUUUGGUCGGACGGCAUGUCCGGGCCUUUCUGCCUGGGGAUCCUAUUCUACUUAACUGUAGGGUAGUGGGACGCAGGCCGUUUACUUUGAAAAAAUUAGAGUGUUCAAAGCAGGCCUACGCUUGAAUACAUUAGCAUGGAAUAAUGGAAUAGGACUUUGGUCUUAUUUGUUGGUUUAUGGGACCGAAGUAAUGAUUAACAGGGACAGUUGGGGCCGUUUAUAUUUCGUUGUCAGAGGUGAAAUUCUUGGAUUUACGAAAGAUAAACUUCUGCGAAAGCAUUCGGCAAGGAUGUUUNCAUUG
Molecule: ribosomal RNA, 373 nt
Filed under: uncultured eukaryote
Lineage: Eukaryota
Description: partial 18S ribosomal RNA
Rfam family: Eukaryotic small subunit ribosomal RNA
Source: RNAcentral